UACGUAGGGGGCGAGCGUUGCCCGGAUUCAUUGGGCGUAAAGGGCGCGUAGGCGGUCCGUUGCGUCCCGCGUGAAAUCUCCCGGCUCAACUGGGAGGGGUCGCGGGAUACGAGCGGACUCGAGCUCGGUAGGGGCCAUGGAAUUCCCGGUGUAGUGGUGGAAUGCGUAGAGAUCGGGAGGAACACCAGUGGCGGAAGGCGGUGGCCUGGACCGAUGCUGACGCUGAGG
Molecule: ribosomal RNA, 228 nt
Filed under: uncultured bacterium
Lineage: Bacteria
Description: partial 16S ribosomal RNA
Rfam family: Bacterial small subunit ribosomal RNA
Source: RNAcentral